RNAcentral lists this ribosomal RNA (408 nucleotides) under Triticum aestivum (bread wheat). Its description in RNAcentral is "partial small subunit ribosomal RNA". The record is from RNAcentral. Lineage: Eukaryota; Viridiplantae; Streptophyta; Magnoliopsida; Poales; Poaceae.
AUGUGUGGUCAUCAGGAUGAGUCACUUUUUUAUUCUCUGGUAACGUGCGACCACGCGAAGUUAUUCUGGAGAGAAGCCGAGAAUUUCUUCGAUUUCAAGCUACCUCGGCUACACCCAGUUAUGUGGUCAAGGGAUUUGCUUGAUUCCAGUUUCAUUGGGAAAGAUCGAGCGGCCAUCAUUAUCUCAGUUAUGUGGAUAAUAUGGUCGAGUAGGAACAAGUAUACCCACGAGGAGGUCAAAUACCAGCCCGGUAGGUCAAUGGUUCUAGUGAAAGAGCUCAUUCAAGCUCUGUACAUUCCUUCCGAAGCCGUCGACAUGAAAGAUCUUGAGAGGGUGAGAUGGAAACCGCCGGAAGAGGGAUGGCGGAAAAUCAAUACUUAUGCUACUGUUGAUGUGAAUGGGGGAUGA